This is a long non-coding RNA of Heterocephalus glaber (naked mole-rat), 570 nucleotides long. NCBI's taxonomy places the organism in Eukaryota, Metazoa, Chordata, Mammalia, Rodentia, Bathyergidae. The record is from Ensembl.
CGAAGAAGAAUGGAUUUUCACUCACUUACUAAGCAGCAGCUCCAGGCCUGGCCCUGGGCUGGCUAGGAAGAGCUUUGCAAAGUGCAUCCUGGAUGCAUCUGAAGGAUGCCUGCUGAUAUUAUUCCAGCCAGAGAGCCAGAGCAUGGAGACUGAGGUAUAUGGAAUGCAGCUGCAGGAACUAUUGGGGGUGAGAUGUUGGCAAAAGCCAGCGGAAUUCUCCUGGCCAAGCCUAUUCCUGGCCAUGGGUGUUUCCUGACCUACAUUGAACAUUUUUUUUUAAAACCAGGAUUAUGUAUCAUGCUUACUAAAUGAAGAAAGUCAAGUCAAUAUUCUGAAAACAAACAAAAGUUACCAAUCACAAUGAAAGGAGGCGGCCAAGCUGGCUGGUGUCCUUUAGUGUGACCUCCCCUUGUGGUGGCGCAUUCUGAGUUCUUGGAUUCUAACAGUGCUCUAGAUGGACCUCAUCCUAACGUCCUUCUCAAGAAUAUCCAAAGUGUCUUAAAGCUCAGGCUACUGCUGAGCCUAAGAGAAAAACAAACAAGCAGGAGCUGUAGAAUGGAAUUGAGGAGC